Molecule: non-coding RNA, 117 nt
Organism: Danio rerio (zebrafish)
Lineage: Eukaryota; Metazoa; Chordata; Actinopteri; Cypriniformes; Danionidae
Source: Rfam
AGCCACAGCCAUAUCACCCUGCAGCCCAAGACCGGCUACUCACUGAAGCUAAGCAGGGCUGAGCCUGGUCAGUACCUAGAUGGAAGACCACAUGGGAAAACUGGGUUACUGUUGGAA